This is a non-coding RNA of Caenorhabditis elegans, 137 nucleotides long. The record is from Ensembl. Lineage: Eukaryota; Metazoa; Nematoda; Chromadorea; Rhabditida; Rhabditidae.
GAUGGGAAGCCCCCCCUCAGAGUGAGGUUGACCUCUGUCUAAUUCGGGCUAAUAGGAUAGCUGAAGAAGGAGGCAGAGGACUUGUAGUUGUUGCACCUACGCAUCGCAUCUAAUUCCAAUAUUUCCUCCACUCCAAA